UACGUAGGGUGCGAGCGUUAAUCGGAAUUACUUGGCGUAAAGCGUGCGCAGGCGGUUCGUGAUGUCUGAUGUGAAAGCCCCGGGCUCAACCUGGGAAUUGCAUUGGAAACUAGCGGGCUGGAGUGUGGCAGAGGGGGGUGGAAUUCCACGUGUAGCAGUGAAAUGCGUAGAGAUGUGGAGGAACACCGAUGGCGAAGGCAGCCCCCUGGGCUAACACUGACGCUCAUGCACGAAAGCGUGGGGAGCAAACAGG
This 253-nucleotide ribosomal RNA is filed under the name uncultured bacterium. Its description in RNAcentral is "partial 16S ribosomal RNA". It matches the Rfam family "Bacterial small subunit ribosomal RNA", at positions 524 to 776 of the family's 1533-position model. The record is from RNAcentral.